Molecule: ribosomal RNA, 450 nt
Filed under: uncultured bacterium
Lineage: Bacteria
Description: partial 16S ribosomal RNA
Rfam family: Bacterial small subunit ribosomal RNA
Source: RNAcentral
GUGGGGAAUUUUGGACAAUGGGCGAAAGCCUGAUCCAGCCAUGCCGCGUGUGUGAAGAAGGUCUUCGGAUUGUAAAGCACUUUAAGUUGGGAGGAAGGGCAGUAAGUUAAUACCUUGCUGUUUUGACGUUACCGACAGAAUAAGCACCGGCUAACUUCGUGCCAGCAGCCGCGGUAAUACGAAGGGUGCAAGCGUUAAUCGGAAUUACUGGGCGUAAAGCGCGCGUAGGUGGUUUUGUAAGUUGGAGGUGAAAUCCCCGGGCUCAACCUGGGAACUGCCUCCAAAACUGCAUGACUAGAGUACGGUAGAGGGUAGUGGAAUUUCCUGUGUAGCGGUGAAAUGCGUAGAUAUAGGAAGGAACACCAGGGGCGAAGGCGACUACCUGGACUGAUACUGACACUGAGGUGCGAAAGCGUGGGGAGCAAACAGGAUUAGAAACCCUGGUAGUCC